RNAcentral lists this ribosomal RNA (253 nucleotides) under uncultured bacterium. RNAcentral's name for it is "partial 16S ribosomal RNA". It matches the Rfam family "Bacterial small subunit ribosomal RNA", at positions 524 to 776 of the family's 1533-position model. The record is from RNAcentral.
UACGAAGGGUGCAAGCGUUACUCGGAAUUACUGGGCGUAAAGCGUGCGUAGGUGGUGAGUUAAGUCUGUCGUGAAAGCCCCGGGCUCAACCUGGGAAUGGCGAUGGAUACUGGCUCGCUAGAGUGCGGUAGAGGAGAGUGGAAUUCCCGGUGUAGCAGUGAAAUGCGCAGAUAUCGGGAGGAACACUUAUUGCGAAGGCAGCUCGCUGGGACGUCACUGACGCUGAGACGCGAAAGCGUGGGGAGCAAACAGG